RNAcentral lists this ribosomal RNA (460 nucleotides) under uncultured bacterium. RNAcentral describes it as "partial 16S ribosomal RNA". It matches the Rfam family "Bacterial small subunit ribosomal RNA", at positions 338 to 795 of the family's 1533-position model. The record is from RNAcentral.
CCUACGGGAGGCAGCAGUGAGGAAUAUUGGUCAAUGGACGAGAGUCUGAACCAGCCAAGUAGCGUGAAGGAUGACUGCCCUAUGGGUUGUAAACUUCUUUUAUAAAGGAAUAAAACGAGGCACGUGUGCCUUUUUGCAUGUACUUUAUGAAUAAGGAUCGGCUACCUCCGUGCCAGCAGCCGCGGUAAUACGGAGGGUCCGAGCGUUAUCCGGAUUUAUUGGGUGUAAAGGGAGCGUAGAUGGGUUGUUGAGUCAGUUGUGAAAGUUUGCGGCUCAACCGUAAAAUUGCAAUUGAUACUGGCAGUCUUGAGUGCAGUUGAGGUAGGCGGAAUUCGUGGUGUAGCGGUGAAAUGCUUAGAUAUCACGAAGAACCCCGAUUGCGAAGGCAGCUUACUAAACUGUGACUGACAUUGAGGCGCGAAAGUGUGGGGAGCAAACAGGAUUAGAUACCCCGGUAGUC